ACACUUCAUACUUUAGACUUGACAAUCUCACAACCUCUUCUGAACUCAUACUUAGAGUGUUUUUGCUUCUUGUCUACACUUUGUCUAUUACAAGACUACUGCUUUCUUCUUGCUUAUUUAUUUGAAACUGGUAUGCCCAUAAUUUAAGCUUCAACAUAUUCACAAUAUGUUUAAUUAUAGCUUUCUGUAUCUAUGUCUACUUUCUACUUCUGCGGAGUUAAAUAUUUAACUAGCAUGUUAAUUUCCUUUUGCCUGUUUCUAUUGUGAAUCUCUGCUCAAGUUUCCGUUUAUG
Molecule: long non-coding RNA, 292 nt
Filed under: Nicotiana benthamiana
Lineage: Eukaryota; Viridiplantae; Streptophyta; Magnoliopsida; Solanales; Solanaceae
Description: long non-coding RNA (NBEN_LNC003643)
Source: RNAcentral